RNAcentral lists this ribosomal RNA (364 nucleotides) under uncultured bacterium. RNAcentral describes it as "bacterial SSU rRNA". It matches the Rfam family "Bacterial small subunit ribosomal RNA", at positions 29 to 390 of the family's 1533-position model. The record is from RNAcentral.
AGUGAACGCUGGCGGCAGGCCUAACACAUGCAAGUCGAGGGGCAGCGCAGUGUAGCAAUACAUGGGCGGCGACCGGCAAACGGGUGCGGAACACGUACAGAACCUUCCUUCGAGCGGGGAAUAGCCCAGAGAAAUUUGGAUUAAUACCCCAUAGUAUAUUAGAGUGGCAUCACUUUAAUAUAAGAUUAUCACUUGAGAUGGCUGUGCGGCUGANAGGUUAGUGGCGGGGUAACGGCCCACCAAGCCAGCGAUCAGUAACUGGUGUGAGAGCACGACCAGUCACACGGGCGACUGAGACACGGGCCCGACUCCUACGGGAGGCAGCAGUAAGGAAUAUUGGUCAAUGGACGCAAGUACUGAACCA